AAACUUUCAACAAUGGAUCUCUUGGUUCUGGCAUCGAUGAAGAACGCAGCGAAAUGCGAUAAGUAGUGUGAAUUGCAGAAUUCAGUGAAUCAUCGAAUCUUUGAACGCACAUUGCGCCCCUUGGUAUUCCGGGGGGCAUGCCUGUUCGAGCGUCAUUU
Molecule: ribosomal RNA, 158 nt
Filed under: Roussoella sp.
Lineage: Eukaryota; Fungi; Ascomycota; Dothideomycetes; Pleosporales; Thyridariaceae
Description: 5.8S ribosomal RNA
Rfam family: 5.8S ribosomal RNA
About the family: 5.8S ribosomal RNA (5.8S rRNA) is a component of the large subunit of the eukaryotic ribosome. It is transcribed by RNA polymerase I as part of the 45S precursor that also contains 18S and 28S rRNA. Functionally, it is thought that 5.8S rRNA may be involved in ribosome translocation.
Source: RNAcentral